GUGGGGAAUAUUGGACAAUGGGCGAAAGCCUGAUCCAGCCAUGCCGCGUGUGUGAAGAAGGUCUUCGGAUUGUAAAGCACUUUAAGUUGGGAGGAAGGGCAGUAAGUUAAUACCUUGCUGUUUUGACGUUACCGACAGAAUAAGCACCGGCUAACUUCGUGCCAGCAGCCGCGGUAAUACGAAGGGUGCAAGCGUUAAUCGGAAUUACUGGGCGUAAAGCGCACGUAGGUGGUUUUGUAAGUUGGAGGUGAAAUCCCCGGGCUCAACCUGGGAACUGCCUCCAAAACUGCAUGACUAGAGUACGGUAGAGGGUAGUGGAAUUUCCUGUGUAGCGGUGAAAUGCGUAGAUAUAGGAAGGAACACCAGUGGCGAAGGCGACUACCUGGACUGAUACUGACACUGAGGUGCGAAAGCGUGGGGAGCAAACAGGAUUAGAAACCCUGGUAGUCC
RNAcentral lists this ribosomal RNA (450 nucleotides) under uncultured bacterium. Its description in RNAcentral is "partial 16S ribosomal RNA". It matches the Rfam family "Bacterial small subunit ribosomal RNA", at positions 354 to 796 of the family's 1533-position model. The record is from RNAcentral.